CUCACUUCUCGGCCUUUUGGCUAAGAUCAAGUGUAGUAUCUGUUCUCAUAAGUAAAUGUGGCCUAUGUUGCAAAUUCAAAACGUUAUUUCUAAAAUUUUGCUGUAUCAAAUAAACUAUAUCUCAAAUGACAGGCAUGUCAACCCAUA
This 147-nucleotide small nuclear RNA is filed under the name Colobus angolensis palliatus. RNAcentral's name for it is "U2 spliceosomal RNA (ENSCANG00000002631.1)". The stretch from base 1 to 119 matches the Rfam family "U2 spliceosomal RNA". Rfam says of the family: U2 is a small nuclear RNA (snRNA) component of the spliceosome (involved in pre-mRNA splicing). Complementary binding between U2 snRNA (in an area lying towards the 5' end but 3' to hairpin I) and the branchpoint sequence (BPS) of the intron results the bulging out of an unpaired adenosine, on the BPS, which initiates a nucleophilic attack at the intronic 5' splice site, thus starting the first of two transesterification reactions that mediate splicing. Lineage: Eukaryota; Metazoa; Chordata; Mammalia; Primates; Cercopithecidae. The record is from RNAcentral.